RNAcentral lists this ribosomal RNA (464 nucleotides) under uncultured Desulfobulbus sp. RNAcentral describes it as "bacterial SSU rRNA". It matches the Rfam family "Bacterial small subunit ribosomal RNA", at positions 925 to 1382 of the family's 1533-position model. The record is from RNAcentral. Lineage: Bacteria; Pseudomonadati; Thermodesulfobacteriota; Desulfobulbia; Desulfobulbales; Desulfobulbaceae.
ACAAGCGGUGGAGUAUGUGGUUUAAUUCGAUGCAACGCGAAGAACCUUACCUGGUCUUGACAUCCCGGAGACCCUUAGGAAACUAGGGGUGCCUUUCCAUCUGGAAGAAUCUGGAGACAGGUGCUGCAUGGCUGUCGUCAGCUCGUGUCGUGAGAUGUUGGGUUAAGUCCCGCAACGAGCGCAACCCUUGCCUUUAGUUGCCAGCAGUUCGGCUGGGCACUCUAAAGGGACUGCCGGUGUUAAACCGGAGGAAGGUGGGGAUGACGUCAAGUCCUCAUGGCCUUUAUGACCAGGGCUACACACGUACUACAAUGGCCGAUACAAAGGGCAGCGACACUGCGAGGUGAAGCCAAUCCCGUAAAAUCGGUCUCAGUCCGGAUUGGAGUCUGCAACUCGACUCCAUGAAGUUGGAAUCGCUAGUAAUCGUGGAUCAGCAUGCCACGGUGAAUACGUUCCCGGGCCUU